Molecule: transfer RNA, 73 nt
Filed under: Paramuricea clavata
Lineage: Eukaryota; Metazoa; Cnidaria; Anthozoa; Malacalcyonacea; Plexauridae
Rfam family: tRNA
About the family: Transfer RNA (tRNA) molecules are approximately 80 nucleotides in length.
Source: Rfam by way of RNAcentral
GACCGCGUAGCUCAGUUGGAAGAGCAAUGGGCUAGUAUUCCAAAGGUCGUAAGUUCGAUUCCCACCGUGGUCA